This 513-nucleotide ribosomal RNA is filed under the name uncultured bacterium. RNAcentral describes it as "partial 16S ribosomal RNA". It matches the Rfam family "Bacterial small subunit ribosomal RNA", at positions 28 to 523 of the family's 1533-position model. The record is from RNAcentral.
GACGAACGCUGGCGGCAUGCCUAAUACAUGCAAGUCGAGCGAACAGAUGAAGUGCUUGCACUUCUGACGUUAGCGGCGAACGGGUGAGUAACACGUAAGGAAUCUACCUAUAAGCGGGGGAUAACAUUCGGAAACGGGUGCUAAUACCGCAUAAUAUCUUCUUCUGCAUGGAAGAAGAUUGAAAGACGGCUCUGCUGUCACUUAUAGAUGACCUUGCGGUGCAUUAGUUAGUUGGUGGGGUAAUGGCCUACCAAGACGAUAAUGCAUAGCCGACCUUAGAGGGUGAUCGGCCACAUUGGGACUGAGACACGGCCCAAACUCCUACGGGAGGCAGCAGUAGGGAAUCUUCCGCAAUGGGCGAAAGCCUGACGGAGCAAUGCCGCGUGAGUGAAGAAGGCCUUCGGGUCGUAAAACUCUGUUAUAGGAGAAGAACAAAUUGUAGAGUAACUGCUACAGUCUUGACGGUAUCUUAUCAGAAAGCCACGGCUAACUACGUGCCAGCCGCCGCGGUAA